AGCAAAACUAAAAAAAGAGAAACAGCUUUUCAAGUGCCUUUCUGCAGUUUUUUCCAAGAGCGCAAGGUGGUUA
Non-coding RNA from Podarcis lilfordi (Lilford's wall lizard), 73 nucleotides. Lineage: Eukaryota; Metazoa; Chordata; Lepidosauria; Squamata; Lacertidae. The record is from the annotation of a GenBank genome assembly.